UAAAAUUUAUAAAAUUAGGUAGUAGAGAAAUUUCUGAAACCUAAAGAAUUUGGCGGUAUUUUAAAUAAUUGGAGGAACCUGUUAUUUAAUUGACAACCCACAACACAUCUUUCCUAAAUUUUAUUUGUAUAUCGCCGUUUUGGAAAUAUUUUAAAAUUAUAACCAAUAUCAAUAAAUUUUUAAAAAUCAGGUCAAGGUGCAGUAUAUUUAGGGUAUAAUGGGUUACAAUAUAUGAAUAUAUUAUGGAUAUAAAAUUAAAAAUAUAUUUGAAAGUGGAUUCAAAAGUAAAGUUAAAUUAAAAUGUUGAUUUGAUUUAUAAUUUAAAAUAUGC
This 331-nucleotide ribosomal RNA is filed under the name Chihuahuanus glabrimanus. Its description in RNAcentral is "partial 12S ribosomal RNA". The record is from RNAcentral. Lineage: Eukaryota; Metazoa; Arthropoda; Arachnida; Scorpiones; Vaejovidae.